Molecule: unclassified non-coding RNA, 332 nt
Filed under: soil metagenome
Description: partial contains 5.8S ribosomal RNA, internal transcribed spacer 2, and large subunit ribosomal RNA
Rfam family: 5.8S ribosomal RNA (bases 1-120)
Source: RNAcentral
GAUGAAGAACGCAGCGAAAUGCGAUAAGUAAUGUGAAUUGCAGAAUUCAGUGAAUCAUCGAAUCUUUGAACGCACAUUGCGCCCGCCAGUAUUCUGGCGGGCAUGCCUGUCCGAGCGUCAUUUCAACCAUCAAGCCCCGGGCUUGUGUUGGGGACCUGCGUCCGACGCAGGCCCUGAAAACCAGUGGCGGGCUUGCUGUCCACACCGAGCGUAGUAACUAACCUCGCUAUGGAGUGGCGCGGGCGCCUGCCGUAAAACCCCCAAUUUCACAAGGUUGACCUCGGAUCAGGUAGGAAUACCCGCUGAACUUAAGCAUAUCAAUAAGCGGAGGA